UGACGAUAAUAGCUUGGAGGUCCCACCUGAUCCCUUCCCGAACUCAGAAGUGAAACUCCAAUGCGCCAAUGGUAGUGUGGUUCGCCCAUGUGAGAGUAGGUCAUCGUCA
This 109-nucleotide ribosomal RNA is filed under the name Streptomyces cinereus. RNAcentral also lists the same sequence under 3 other names. Lineage: Bacteria; Bacillati; Actinomycetota; Actinomycetes; Kitasatosporales; Streptomycetaceae. The record is from RNAcentral.